GCGGGUAUCGUAUAAUGAUUAUUACCUCGGCUACUUUAGCCUUCCUAGCUGAUGAUGUGGGUUCAACUCCCGCUACCCGCU
Molecule: transfer RNA, 81 nt
Filed under: Citrobacter braakii
Lineage: Bacteria; Pseudomonadati; Pseudomonadota; Gammaproteobacteria; Enterobacterales; Enterobacteriaceae
Description: tRNA-Gly
Rfam family: tRNA
About the family: Transfer RNA (tRNA) molecules are approximately 80 nucleotides in length. Their secondary structure includes four short double-helical elements and three loops (D, anti-codon, and T loops).
Source: RNAcentral